Molecule: ribosomal RNA, 712 nt
Filed under: Escherichia coli
Lineage: Bacteria; Pseudomonadati; Pseudomonadota; Gammaproteobacteria; Enterobacterales; Enterobacteriaceae
Description: partial 23S ribosomal RNA
Rfam family: Bacterial large subunit ribosomal RNA
Source: RNAcentral
AUAAUGGGUCAGCGACUUAUAUUCUGUAGCAAGGUUAACCGAAUAGGGGAGCCGAAGGGAAACCGAGUCUUAACUGGGCGUUAAGUUGCAGGGUAUAGACCCGAAACCCGGUGAUCUAGCCAUGGGCAGGUUGAAGGUUGGGUAACACUAACUGGAGGACCGAACCGACUAAUGUUGAAAAAUUAGCGGAUGACUUGUGGCUGGGGGUGAAAGGCCAAUCAAACCGGGAGAUAGCUGGUUCUCCCCGAAAGCUAUUUAGGUAGCGCCUCGUGAAUUCAUCUCCGGGGGUAGAGCACUGUUUCGGCAAGGGGGUCAUCCCGACUUACCAACCCGAUGCAAACUGCGAAUACCGGAGAAUGUUAUCACGGGAGACACACGGCGGGUGCUAACGUCCGUCGUGAAGAGGGAAACAACCCAGACCGCCAGCUAAGGUCCCAAAGUCAUGGUUAAGUGGGAAACGAUGUGGGAAGGCCCAGACAGCCAGGAUGUUGGCUUAGAAGCAGCCAUCAUUUAAAGAAAGCGUAAUAGCUCACUGGUCGAGUCGGCCUGCGCGGAAGAUGUAACGGGGCUAAACCAUGCACCGAAGCUGCGGCAGCGACGCUUAUGCGUUGUUGGGUAGGGGAGCGUUCUGUAAGCCUGCGAAGGUGUGCUGUGAGGCAUGCUGGAGGUAUCAGAAGUGCGAAUGCUGACAUAAGUAACGAUAAAGCGGGUG